RNAcentral lists this ribosomal RNA (719 nucleotides) under uncultured bacterium. RNAcentral's name for it is "bacterial SSU rRNA". It matches the Rfam family "Bacterial small subunit ribosomal RNA", at positions 8 to 760 of the family's 1533-position model. The record is from RNAcentral.
AGAGUUUGAUCCUGGCUCAGAAUCAACGCUGGCGGCGCGCUUAACACAUGCAAGUCGCACGAGAAAGGGAGCAAUCCUGAGUAUAGUGGCGCACGGGUGAGUAACACGUGGAUGAUCUACCUCCUUGUGGGGAAUAACCCUGGGAAACCGGGGCUAAUACCGCAUACGUUCGAGAGAAGAAAGCCGAAAGGCGCAGGGAGAGGAGUCCGCGGUCGAUUAGCUAGUUGGCAGGGUAAUGGCCUACCAAGGCGACGAUCGAUAGCCGGCCUGAGAGGGCACACGGCCACACUGGCACUGAAACACGGGCCAAACUCCUACGGGAGGCAGCAGUGGGGAAUCUUGCACAAUGGGGGAAACCCUGAUGCAGCGACGCCGCGUGAACGAUGAAGCCCUUCGGGGUGUAAAGUUCUUUCGACGGGGACGAUAAUGACGGUACCCGGAGAAGAAGCUGCGGCUAACUACGUGCCAGCAGCCGCGGUAAUACGUAGGCAGCAAGCGUUGUUCGGAAUUACUGGGCGUAAAGAGUGCGUAGGCGGUUAACUAAGUUUGGUGUGAAAUCUCCCGGCUUAACUGGGAGGGUGCGCCGAAAACUGGCUAGCUAGAGUGUGGGAGANGAUAGUGGAAUUCCUGGUGUAGCGGUGAAAUGCGUANAUAUCAGGAGGACCACCUGCGGUGUAGACNGCUAUCUGGACCAUGACNGGACGCUGAGGCACGAAAGC